This 253-nucleotide ribosomal RNA is filed under the name uncultured bacterium. Its description in RNAcentral is "partial 16S ribosomal RNA". It matches the Rfam family "Bacterial small subunit ribosomal RNA", at positions 524 to 776 of the family's 1533-position model. The record is from RNAcentral.
GACGUAGGGUGCGAGCGUUGUCCGGAUUUAUUGGGCGUAAAGAGCUCGUAGGCGGUUUGUCGCGUCGGGAGUGAAAACUCAGGGCUUAACCCUGAGCCUGCUUCCGAUACGGGCAGACUAGAGGUAUGCAGGGGAGAACGGAAUUCCUGGUGUAGCGGUGAAAUGCGCAGAUAUCAGGAGGAACACCGGUGGCGAAGGCGGUUCUCUGGGCAUUACCUGACGCUGAGGAGCGAAAGUGUGGGGAGCGAACAGG